This 780-nucleotide ribosomal RNA is filed under the name uncultured archaeon. RNAcentral describes it as "bacterial SSU rRNA". It matches the Rfam family "Archaeal small subunit ribosomal RNA", at positions 111 to 879 of the family's 1478-position model. The record is from RNAcentral.
CAUUUUGGGCGAGACCUCCGGGAACUGGAGCUAAUCUCUGAUAGGUGAGGACUCCUGGAAUGGAUCCUUGCCCAAAAGGCGUUUAGAUCAUGCUUCUAGGCGCUGCCCAAGGAUGGGGCCGCGGCCGAUCAGGUUGUUGGUGAGGUAACGGCUCACCAAGCCUGUAACCGGUACGGGCCGUGAAAGCGGUAGCCCGGAGAUGGGUACUGAGACAAGGACCCAGGCCCUACGGGGCGCAGCAGUCGCGAAACCUUCGCAAUAAGCGAAAGCUUGACGGGGUUAUCCCGAGUGCCAUCCGCUGAGGGUGGCUUUUACCUAGUAUAGAUAGCUGGGGGAAUAAGGAGAGGGCAAGUCUGGUGUCAGCCGCCGCGGUAAUACCAGCUCUCCGAGUGGUGGGGACGCUUACUGGGCCUGAAGCAUCCGUAGCUGGCUGAGCAAGUCCCCUGUUAAAUCCAGCGAUUUGAUCGUUGGAUUGCGGGGGAUACUGUCCGGCUAUGGGGCGGGAGAGGCCGACGGUAUUCCCGGGGUAGGGGUGAAAUCUUAUAAUCCCGGGAGGACCACCAGUGGCGAAGGCUGUUGGCUAGAACGCGCCCGACGGUGAGGGAUGAAAGCUGGGGGAGCGAACCGGAUUAGAUACCCGGGUAGUCCCAGCUGUAAACGAUGCAGGCUAGGUGUCAGCGCGGCUACGUGCCGCUCUGGUGCCGCAGGAAAGCUGUUAAGCCUGCCGCCUGGGGAGUACGGCCGCAAGGCUGAAACUUAAAGGAAUUGGCGGGGGAGCAC